This 498-nucleotide ribosomal RNA is filed under the name uncultured bacterium. RNAcentral's name for it is "partial 16S ribosomal RNA". It matches the Rfam family "Bacterial small subunit ribosomal RNA", at positions 30 to 523 of the family's 1533-position model. The record is from RNAcentral.
AUUGAACGCUGGCGGCAUGCCUUACACAUGCAAGUCGAACGGUAACAGGUCUUCGGAUGCUGACGAGUGGCGAACGGGUGAGUAAUACAUCGGAACGUGCCUAGUAGUGGGGGAUAACUACUCGAAAGAGUGGCUAAUACCGCAUGAUAUCUACGGAUGAAAGCAGGGGAUCGCAGGACCUUGUGCUACUAGAGCGGCCGAUGGCAGAGUAGGUAGUUGGUGGGAUAAAAGCUUACCAAGGCGACGAUCUGUAGCUGGUCUGAGAGGACGAUCAGCCACACUGGGACUGAGACACGGCCCAGACUCCUACGGGAGGCAGCAGUGGGGAAUUUUGGACAAUGGGCGAAAGCCUGAUCCAGCAAUGCCGCGUGCAGGAUGAAGGCCUUCGGGUUGUAAACUGCUUUUGUACGGAACGAAAAGCCCCGGGUUAAUACCCUGGGGUCAUGACGGUACCGUAAGAAUAAGCACCGGCUAACUACGUGCCAGCCGCCGCGGUAA